UUGACCUCGGAUCAGGUAGCAUGACGCCU
Molecule: ribosomal RNA, 29 nt
Filed under: Paraconiothyrium fuckelii
Lineage: Eukaryota; Fungi; Ascomycota; Dothideomycetes; Pleosporales; Didymosphaeriaceae
Description: partial 28S ribosomal RNA
Source: RNAcentral